RNAcentral lists this ribosomal RNA (200 nucleotides) under uncultured bacterium. Its description in RNAcentral is "partial 16S ribosomal RNA". It matches the Rfam family "Bacterial small subunit ribosomal RNA", at positions 28 to 254 of the family's 1533-position model. The record is from RNAcentral.
GAUGAACGCUAGCGGCAGGCUUAACACAUGCAAGUCGAGCGGGCGUAGCAAUACGUCAGCGGCAGACGGGUGAGUAACGCGUGGGAACAUACCUUUUUGUUCGGAACAACACAGGGAAACUUGUGCUAAUACCGGAUAAGCCCUUACGGGGAAAGAUUUAUCGCCGAAAGAUUGGCCCGCGUCUGAUUAGCUAGUUGGUG